UACAGAGGUCUCAAGCGUUGUUCGGAUUCAUUGGGCGUAAAGGGUGCGUAGGCGGCGCGGUAAGUCGGGUGUGAAAUCUUGGAGCUUAACUCCGAAACUGCAUUCGAUACUGCCGUGCUUGAGGACUGGAGAGGAGACUGGAAUUUACGGUGUAGCAGUGAAAUGCGUAGAGAUCGUAAGGAAGACCAGUGGCGAAGGCGGGUCUCUGGACAGUUCCUGACGCUGAGGCACGAAGGCCAGGGGAGCAAACGGG
RNAcentral lists this ribosomal RNA (253 nucleotides) under uncultured bacterium. RNAcentral's name for it is "partial 16S ribosomal RNA". It matches the Rfam family "Bacterial small subunit ribosomal RNA", at positions 524 to 776 of the family's 1533-position model. The record is from RNAcentral.